RNAcentral lists this ribosomal RNA (770 nucleotides) under uncultured Cryomorphaceae bacterium. RNAcentral describes it as "bacterial SSU rRNA". It matches the Rfam family "Bacterial small subunit ribosomal RNA", at positions 97 to 870 of the family's 1533-position model. The record is from RNAcentral. Lineage: Bacteria; Pseudomonadati; Bacteroidota; Flavobacteriia; Flavobacteriales; Cryomorphaceae.
GGCGCACGGGUGCGUAACGCGUAUGCAACCUACCUUAUACUGGGGUAUAGCCCGGAGAAAUUCGGAUUAAUCCCCCAUGGUAUUAUUUAAUCGCAUGGUUUGAUAAUUAAAGGUUACGGUAUAAGAUGGGCAUGCGUCCUAUUAGCUAGAUGGUAAGGUAACGGCUUACCAUGGCUACGAUAGGUAGGGGGCCUGAGAGGGUGGUCCCCCACACUGGUACUGAGACACGGACCAGACUCCUACGGGAGGCAGCAGUGAGGAAUAUUGGUCAAUGGGCGCAAGCCUGAACCAGCCAUGCCGCGUGCAGGAAGAAUGCCCUACGGGUUGUAAACUGCUUUUAUUUAGGAAUAAACUCUUGUACGUGUACAAGCCUGAAGGUACUAAAUGAAUAAGCACCGGCUAACUCCGUGCCAGCAGCCGCGGUAAUACGGAGGGUGCAAGCGUUAUCCGGAAUCAUUGGGUUUAAAGGGUCCGCAGGCGGAUUUAUAAGUCAGUGGUGAAAUCCUAUCGCUUAACGAUAGAACUGCCAUUGAUACUGUAGGUCUUGAAUUCGGUCGAAGUGGGCGGAAUGUGUAGUGUAGCGGUGAAAUGCAUAGAUAUUACACAGAACACCGAUAGCGAAGGCAGCUCACUAGGCCUGGAUUGACGCUCAGGGACGAAAGCGUGGGGAUCAAACAGGAUUAGAUACCCUGGUAGUCCACGCUGUAAACGAUGAUUACUCGUUUUCGGCGAUAUACAGUCGGAGACUAAGCGAAAGCGAUAAGUAAUCC